AUUUGGGGGAAUGUAGGUAUAUAUCUUAUGAUGCAUAUAUACAAAUCGACUACGUCGUAUAAAGUUCUAAAUAGAUAAUUGAUUGUGACAGAUUUCUAUUUAUGUGUCUCGACCAAUUCUUGUGCCAGCAGUCGCGGCAACACAAGUGAGACUAGUGUUAUUCAUCUUUAUUAGGUUUAAAGGGUACCUAGACGGUUUUUUUAGCUUGAAAAAUGUACAAAAAAACUAGAGUUUUAUAUGAGAGGUAAAUAUUAGGACUAUUGGUGUAGAGAUGAAAUUUUUUGAUACUAAUUGGACGUAUAAUGGCGAAGGCGAUCCUCUAUUUAUAAACUGACGUUAAGGGACGAAGGCUUGGGGAGCGAAUAGGAUUAGAUACCCUAGUAGUCCAGGCAGAAAAUUAUGAAUGUUAUAGAUUAAGUAUAUAAUUAGUGUAUAAAUGAAAGUGUAAGCAUUCCACCUCAAGAGUAAUGUGGCAACGCAGGAACUGAAAUCAU
RNAcentral lists this ribosomal RNA (494 nucleotides) under Mycosphaerella sp. NNF924. RNAcentral's name for it is "partial small subunit ribosomal RNA". It matches the Rfam family "Bacterial small subunit ribosomal RNA", at positions 359 to 909 of the family's 1533-position model. RNAcentral also lists the same sequence under 1 other name. Lineage: Eukaryota; Fungi; Ascomycota; Dothideomycetes; Mycosphaerellales; Mycosphaerellaceae. The record is from RNAcentral.